AGCGAACGCUGGCGGCAGGCCUAACACAUGCAAGUCGAACGAACCUUUCGGGGUUAGUGGCGGACGGGUGAGUAACACGUGGGGACGUGCCUUUAGGUUCGGAAUAACUCAGGGAAACUUGUGCUAAUACCGAAUGUGCCCUUCGGGGGAAAGAUUAAUCGCCUUUAGAGCGGCCCGCGUCUGAUUAGCUAGUUGGUUGAGGUAAUGGCUCACCAAGGCGACGAUCAGUAGCUGGUCUGAGAGGAUGAUCAGCCACAUUGGGACUGAGACACGGCCCAAACUCCUACGGGAGGCAGCAGUGGGGAAUCUUGCGCAAUGGGCGAAAGCCUGACGCAGCCAUGCCGCGUGAAUGAUGAAGGUCUUAGGAUUGUAAAAUUCUUUCACCGGGGACGAUAAUGACGGUAACCGGAGAAGAAGCCCCGGCUAACUUCGUG
This 434-nucleotide ribosomal RNA is filed under the name uncultured bacterium. RNAcentral's name for it is "partial 16S ribosomal RNA". It matches the Rfam family "Bacterial small subunit ribosomal RNA", at positions 29 to 507 of the family's 1533-position model. The record is from RNAcentral.